This 245-nucleotide ribosomal RNA is filed under the name uncultured Olsenella sp. RNAcentral describes it as "partial 16S ribosomal RNA". It matches the Rfam family "Bacterial small subunit ribosomal RNA", at positions 524 to 769 of the family's 1533-position model. Lineage: Bacteria; Bacillati; Actinomycetota; Coriobacteriia; Coriobacteriales; Atopobiaceae. The record is from RNAcentral.
UACGUAGGGGGCGAGCGUUAUCCGGAUUCAUUGGGCGUAAAGCGCGCGUAGGCGGCCCGCCCGGUCGGGAGUCAAAUCCGGGGGCUCAACCCCCGCACGCUCCCGAUACCGGCGGGCUUGAGUCUGGUAGGGGAGGGCGGAACUCCAGGUGUAGCGGUGGAAUGCGCAGAUAUCUGGAGGAACACCGGUGGCGAAGGCGGCCCUCUGGGCCACGACUGACGCUGAGGCGCGAAAGCUAGGGGAGC